This 508-nucleotide ribosomal RNA is filed under the name uncultured bacterium. RNAcentral's name for it is "partial 16S ribosomal RNA". It matches the Rfam family "Bacterial small subunit ribosomal RNA", at positions 28 to 507 of the family's 1533-position model. The record is from RNAcentral.
GACGAACGCUGGCGGCGUGCCUAAUACAUGCAAGUCGAACGCUUCUUUCCUCCCGAGUGCUUGCACUCAAUUGGAAAGAGGAGUGGCGGACGGGUGAGUAACACGUGGGUAACCUACCCAUCAGAGGGGGAUAACACUUGGAAACAGGUGCUAAUACCGCAUAACAGUUUAUGCCGCAUGGCAUAAGAGUGAAAGGCGCUUUCGGGUGUCGCUGAUGGAUGGACCCGCGGUGCAUUAGCUAGGUGGUGAGGUAACGGCUCACCAAGGCCACGAUGCAUAGCCGACCUGAGAGGGUGAUCGGCCACACUGGGACUGAGACACGGCCCAGACUCCUACGGGAGGCAGCAGUAGGGAAUCUUCGGCAAUGGACGAAAGUCUGACCGAGCAACGCCGCGUGAGUGAAGAAGGUUUUCGGAUCGUAAACCUCUGUUGUUAGAGAAGAACAAGGACGUUAGUAACUGAACGUCCCCUGACGGUAUCUAACCAGAAAGCCACGGCUAACUACGUG